RNAcentral lists this ribosomal RNA (253 nucleotides) under uncultured bacterium. RNAcentral describes it as "partial 16S ribosomal RNA". It matches the Rfam family "Bacterial small subunit ribosomal RNA", at positions 524 to 776 of the family's 1533-position model. The record is from RNAcentral.
UACGUGGGGGGCAAGCGUUGUCCGGAAUUAUUGGGCGUAAAGAGUGUGUAGGCGGCUUGGUAAGUCUGCUCUGAAAGCCAGGGGCUCAACCCCUGGAGGCGGGUGGAUACUGUCAAGCUUGAGUCCGGAAGAGGCGAGUGGAAUUCCCGGUGUAGCGGUGAAAUGCGCAGAUAUCGGGAGGAACACCAAUGGCGAAGGCAGCUCGCUGGGACGUGACUGACGCUGAGACACGAAAGCGUGGGGAGCAAACAGG